This 492-nucleotide ribosomal RNA is filed under the name uncultured bacterium. RNAcentral describes it as "partial 16S ribosomal RNA". It matches the Rfam family "Bacterial small subunit ribosomal RNA", at positions 29 to 507 of the family's 1533-position model. The record is from RNAcentral.
AGUGAACGCUGGCGGUAGGCCUAACACAUGCAAGUCGAACGGCAGCACAGUAAGAGCUUGCUCUUACGGGUGGCGAGUGGCGGACGGGUGAGGAAUACAUCGGAAUCUACUUUUUCGUGGGGGAUAACGUAGGGAAACUUACGCUAAUACCGCAUACGACCUACGGUUGAAAGCAGGGGAUCUUCGGACCUUGCGCGAUUGAAUGAGCCGAUGUCGGAUUAGCUAGUUGGCGGGGUAAAGGCCCACCAAGGCGACGAUCCGUAGCUGGUCUGAGAGGAUGAUCAGCCACACUGGAACUGAGACACGGUCCAGACUCCUAAGGGAGGCAGCAGUGGGGAAUAUUGGACAAUGGGCGCAAGCCUGAUCCAGCCAUACCGCGUGGGUGAAGAAGGCCUUCGGGUUGUAAAGCCCUUUUGUUGGGAAAGAAAAGCAGCAGGUUAAUACCCCGCUGUUCUGACGGUACCCAAAGAAUAAGCACCGGCUAACUUCGUG